Molecule: long non-coding RNA, 4319 nt
Organism: Cynocephalus volans (Philippine flying lemur)
Lineage: Eukaryota; Metazoa; Chordata; Mammalia; Dermoptera; Cynocephalidae
Exons: 2
Source: RefSeq, a predicted model, not a curated record
GGGCCACCUAGAGAAGAGGCUGUGCUCGGGGGCUCCGGCUCCUCAGAGAGCCUCGGCUAGGAUCUAAUCAGUUUGAAAAGAGCCCCUAUCAGAGCAACAUGAAUUCUAAAAUUGAAGCAAGAACAAACAUCAAAUUUAUGGUGAAACUUGGAUGGAAGAAUGGUGAAAUCAUUGAUGCUUUACGAAAAGUUUAUGGGGAUAAUGCCCCAAAGAAAUCAGCAGUUUACAAAUGGAUAACUCGUUUUAAGAAGGGAAGAGACGAUGUUGAAGAUGAAGCCCGCAGUGGCAGGCCAUCCACAUCCAUUUGCAAGAAAAAAAUUAAUCUUGUUCGUGCCCUAAUUGAAGAGGGCCGACCAUUAACAGCAGAAACAAUAGCCAACACCACAGACAUCUCAAUUGGUUCAGCAUACACAAUUUUGACUGAAAAAUUACAAUUGGGCAAACUUUCUACCCGAUGGGUGCCGAAACUGUUGCAUCCACAUCAGCUGCAGACAAGAGCAGAACAUUCAAGGGAAAUUUUAAACAAGUGGGAUCAAGAUCCUGAAGCAUUUCUUCGAAGAAUUGUAACAGGAGAUGAAACAUGGCUUUACCAGUAUGAUCCUGAAGACAAAGCACAAUCAAAAUAAAAGCUACCAAGAGGUGGAAGUGCUCCAGUCAAAGCAAGAGCAGACCAGUCAAGAGCAAAGGUCAUGGCACCAGUUUAGGAUGCUUAAGGCAUUUUGCUCGUUAACUUUCUGGAGGGCUAAAAAACAGUAGGAAAAGCUUUACCCAGAGUCCUUUCCCACCACAACAAUACUCCUGUUCAUCCCUCUCAUCAAACAAGGCAAUUUUGUGAGUUUCAAUGGGAAAUCAUUAGGCAUCCAUCUUACAGUCCUGAUUUGGCUCCUUCUGACUUUUUUGUUCCUAAUCUUAAAAUAAUAUUUAAAGGGUACCUAUUUUUCUUCAGUUGAUAGUGUAAAAAAAGACUGCAUUGAUAUAGCUAAAUUCCCAGCACCCUCAGUUCUUAUAGGGAAGGAUUAAGUGGCUUUUAUCACUUGUAAGAGUGUCUUGCAUUUGAUGGAGCUUAUGUUAAAUAGAGUUUAUAUUUUGUGUGCUUCUCCAGAAUACUUUUUUUCUUAUCCAUGAUUCCUCAUUCUUGAUGGAGUGGGUAAGAAAUUAGAUAUUAGAGUACUGUUAGUGAUCAUGGAGUUAAAUAUUUAGACUUAUUUUAUCUAGACCAGGGUUGAACCUGGUGAAUUAUUCCUGCUCUGUUACGGAGUGUAUUUUCUUGGUGACUAGAGAGAUUAUUUCUGCCUCUCUGUAUUUCUGAAUCAUGGUUAUGUUAAUAAUCCUGCACUACAGCUUUUCCUAGAGUUCAGAGUUAUCACUGACCUUUAGUUUGUCCUGGUACUUUGUCAUCCUUUGUUUUCUAGUUUUUUUUUAAAACAUGUUUAAGAUCAGCUCUUCCUGCUGACAACAGUAACACAUUUUCAGGUCAUGUUUACAGACUUGAUUAUUUUAUUAUAUAAAUAGUCCCAUCUGUAGUGUAUAUACUCUAGUCUACUCAGUCAGCAGUUUUCAUAGUCUUUCUUCCUUUUACUGACCUUUGGUUAAAAUCUCAUUCCAGACUUUGUGGUAUUGCUUACUAUAACAAAUAAUGGCAACAUAUUAUAAUGUAUGUUAUAGGAAAAAGCUAAUGGAAACAUGGGUAGGUUAGAAAAAAUGAAGUGUUCACUGAGUGCUUUUUGUGUACUAAGUAACUAAAUGCAGAUAUGGUGGAAAUAGCAAGAGAAUUAGAAUUAGAAGUGGAGCCUGAUGAUAUGACUGAAUUGCUGCAAUAUCAUAAAACUUUAAAUGGAUGGGGAAUUGGUUUUUAUGAUGAGCAGGGAAAGUGAUUUCUUUCUGGUGAAAAUGCUGUGAACAUAGUUGAAACGAUGACAAAGGAUUUAGAAUAUUACAUAAACUUAAUUGAUGAAGCAGUGGCAGAGUUUGAGUGGACUGACUCCAAUUCGGAAAGAAGUUCUGCUAUGGGUAAAAUGCUAUCAGACAGCAUCGUCAAUUGAUGCAGCAAACUUCAUUGUCUUAUUAUAAGAAACUGCAUGGCCACCCAACCUUCAACAACUCACCCUGAUCACUCAGCAGCCAUCAACAUCGAGGUAGAACCCUCCAGCAGCAAAAAGGUCUAACUCACUGAAGGCUCAGAUGAUUGCUAGCAUUUUUUAGCAAUAUUUUAAAAUUAAGGUAUGUACAUUUUUAAAGAUAUAAUGCUAUUGCACACUUAAUACAGUAUAGUAUAAACAUAACUUUAAUAUGUACUGGGAAACCAAAAAAUUCAUGUGACUUGCUUUAUUGCAGUGGUCUGGAACUGAAUCCGCAGUAUCUCUGAGGUAUGCCUGUCUGUAUAUUUAGUGUGGUCCUUAUAUAUUUAAAAAAAAAAAAAAAAAAUUACACAAUAGGAAACUAAAGCUCAGUGAGAUUGAACAAUUUUCUUUAGCUAUCUCAGGCCAGGAAUCCAAACUCUGGUCUUGAUUGACAGUUGCUAUUUUUAACCGUUUUGUCCACCUGGUUCUAAUGGACACAAAACAUUAUUUUAGGAAAUUUAACCUGGCUGCAGAUACAGGAUAGGUUAUAGGGAUGAAGAAAUUUGAAAGCAGAGACCACUUAUGAGAUUCUCUUACAGUAGUCCAGCCAUGAAGUGAUGAGAUCUGGUCUCAUCUAGUGCUGGCAAUCAAAAUGGAAAGGAAAUUAAAGGAUUCAGUAACUGACCAAAUGUCAGUCACUGAGAGGGACAAUGGUCUCAGAAUAUCACUUCUGAAGCCUUCCUUGAUGCCCUCACCCCUACAACACUGGGUCCCCAUGUAAAUUUUGUAAUGGCUCUCCUCACAAUUGUAAUUAAAUUAAUCAUUGUGUAAUUCUUGUUUCUUUCCUACUUCUUCAGGUUGGUCCUUGAGGACAAUGCUUAUUUAUGGCUGUAUCCCUGUUGCCUGAGCACAGGGAAGUGUGUGAGGUCAAAACUAUUUAGAUAAUAACCAGAUGUUUGCCUUUUUCACUUAUUCUUGCAAGAGUGCUGCAGAGGCUACUGAUGUGUGAUGACAUCCUCUCUCUGAUGUUAACAAAUGGUGCUACAUAUCCUUGGGUUUUUAUAAGGUGGUAGGUAGGUUUAGGUAUGAGUAUUUGUGUUUUUAGAAAUUAACUCGUUAUACCUUCUGUAAUCUCAACACUAUAAUUGUUACUUUAAAAUCCUGUAGUCUUCCUUGUGCCUAAGCAUAAACAUAAGUACAUUUUGUUGUUGUUUUGCAGUUUAAAAUAUUUUCUCAAAACGUCCAAAUUUUACUUUAAAGUUUAUAGUUUUUCUUAUAUUUAAGAAUGGAUCAUUAGCUUAAAAAAGAAGAGACUACUUGUUGAACCCAAGCUAUACCAUCUAUGUCUAAAAAUGCUAAAGUACAAGAUUGAUUCAGAAGGAUUGACUGAAAAGAAACUAUAAGAAAUGAAAAUAUGAAAGCUAUGUUUCUUCUGGUUUUAGAGAUAUUAAUUUACCUUAUUGUGUAUAUGUAGUAGAAUAAUUUUGUGUACUGUUGGUGGUAGCAAAGUUGAAUCAUUUGGAAACCAGUGAUUUUUAAAGGUAUUGAAUAUCUUAACUUCAGAUGUGAGGCUUCUUAAAAGAAAAAAAAUUACAUUUUCAAACUAGACAUGAUAAAACUACUGAAGUAUCUUAAAGGGCAAGUUAUUGUAUUAUAUUGGCUGGAGAAACAUACACAAUAGCUGAGAAGCUUUAAGGAGCAUUCUUGGACGAAAAGCAAGUGAAAAAUCACAGUAGUGCCACUUUUGAACAAUGCAAGUUGUUGGAUUUGUGUGCAGACAUGAACUCUGUUAAUAUCUCAUCUAUAGACGUGUACAGUCAUCCCUUGGUAUCUAUAGGGCACUGGUUCCAGGACAACCAACACUCGUGAGGAUACUGCAGAUGUUCAAGUCCCUUGUAUAAAAUGGUGUACUAUUUGUAUGACUUAAGCACAUCCUCUCAUAUUCUUUAAAUCAUCUCUAGAUUACUUAUGAUACUUAAUGCAAUGUAAAAUGCUAUGUAAAUACUUAAACUGUGUUUUUUAUUUGUAUUAAUUUUUAUUUAUUCCCCCCCCCCCCCAAUAUUUUCGAUCUGUAGUUGGUUAAGUCUUUGGAUGUGGAACCCGUGGAUAUGAGGGCCCACUGUACUUAAACCUUAUAAAUGGAUCAAUCUACAAAUGUGGCUGGACUUGUUGACUUUGCUUGUAUUUGCCUGGCAUCAGCAUGAACUAAUCAGAUACUCUCAUACGAAAGCUUGGCAAUAAACACAACAUAUCCUGAAA